This is a long non-coding RNA of Oreochromis niloticus (Nile tilapia), 2241 nucleotides long. RefSeq lists it as uncharacterized. The record is from RefSeq and is a predicted model, not a curated record. The transcript has 3 exons. NCBI's taxonomy places the organism in Eukaryota, Metazoa, Chordata, Actinopteri, Cichliformes, Cichlidae.
UAGUGACUUUCACUGACACAUUUCUUAUAUUUUUAGCAGCAGUCGAACUAGUUUGCACCUUUGAAGUCGUAGGAUGUGCAAAAAGAAAGUAGUUGACAAUAGAGAAAAAUCCAGCUAACAGGUCCUCAUCAUAAUGCACUGAGAGGUCAGUGCAUCAUUAACAAAGCAGCAGUCACAGGCAACAAAGGGAAGAAGGAAGCGGGACAGAAUGACCUUUCUUUGUUCCAUUUCCAGGAAGUGACCCUAAGGCCCCAAGAGUACCACCUUGGCCAGUAUAUGAGGCCCUUGGCCCCCAAAGGGCCUACUGCAGCAACUCUGAUGAACUAUUCCCAGUACCAGGCAAUCAAAGCUGACCUCGAGGGUCACAAAUAGAGCACAUGGCAGCAAAUCACCUGAGAAGUUUCCAUUGUAACAGUGAUCAGAAAGCUUUUUGUUUAGUCCCUUAACCCCCCCCCAGUUCCCGGUUACAGCUUUUCCACUCAACCACAUUUUAUUAGUCUCGUUUCAUUGUGGGGAGUGUUUAUGAGUAGUGCUUGAGGAGCUGCUUCCUCAGGUUAAGACAGCGUUCUAUCCUUAAUUUUGCAGAAAAUGGUAAAGUCUUUCAAAAAACUGGCAGGGAAACCCAUCAUUCUUUAUACUGCCGGAUAACACCACCUUAUUCUAAACGUAGCAGUUAAAAAAUAAAUACAUUUUUAAAGAACUUAAAAUGAAAUCGGUUCAGUGUUCAGGAAUGAGGUUUUGCUUUUACUAGGUGUAACACUGUGUGCAAGCUGUAGACAGGAAGUAACAUGUGGCCUGCUCUCGCUUCUAUAUAUACACACACAUAUAUUUGAUACAUGCAUCUGUUUUCGUAGAGAGAGAGAAAGAUUCUGUAUGCGAAAGAUGCGAAGCAGGAAGUAAUACUGCUUUUCUCUAACCAUUGCAGGUGAAGUGAGUGGAGAGAAAGGGGGGUAGGGGUUAAGAUAGAGAAUGUAAGUAAACACUGAAGUAAAGUCUCUUGGAAGAUACUUCAAAUGUGCUGGAGGACUACCCCUCUAAAAACAGCCAUUUACUUGUACUGUAAACAUGGAAGUCAGACUCACACAGCUGGAUAGCAAAUUCAAAUGUUUAUUUACAGCCUUUGUAAUAGUCACUGAGAAGAGUGGUCUAAAUACAAAAAUAACAGGAAAAAAAACCAAGAGAAAGAUGGCGGCUUAUCUCCCUGAGCUUUACAAAAAACAAUGUGGGACCUGCAGGUGACAGGAGAGAGAGAUGUUCUGUACACAGCCCUAAUGCCACAAAAAUGAGAAAAUACAAAGACAAUAUCUCAGACAUGCUUCUACAACAGUUAGAAACGGACCCCACAAACAGCAAGUCAUGAUGACCGAGUGGAGAAGAACACAGAAACACUAUAGGCAAAUAAACGGACACAUUACUACCAGAGAACCAGUAACAAUAUUAACAGCUUUUGGCAAACAUCAGGAGUUCCAAGAACGACGUGAACAAAGAUUACGUCUGCAAACUGUGUCCCACAGUGUGAAUUCUCUACAACCUGUACUUCAUGGUGUUGCUUCAAAAGUAUGGCUGUUUAAAAAAAACAAAACAAAAGAGGAAGACUGGGAAAGACAAUCCAAUGUGUACAGCUCAGAGUGAAUCUCAGACUUUGUCUUUCUAAAAAGUUACAAAGAAAUCAAGAAAAAAGACGAUCAGUGCACUACAAGGCCUCGGGGGUUGGCUCACUAGGAACAAGUAUUUACAUAUCCUUCAUUGGGUCUGUACAUUGCUUUAUUAAGUGCUUUUCAAAAUUUAACAUUUCCCAUCCUUAUUCAGCUUUUCGCUUUGAACAGCAGCCUGUCUGUGACACUUUUUGUUCUCAGUCAUACCGUUUUGCUGCAUCAUCAAAAUACUGUCCAUCAUAAGGCUUUCAGGAGGCCAGUGUCACGAGGGGGAUCAUAGCAUAACUUGACUUUGGUACAUAACGGGUAAAAAUGAACUCGUUCCACAUAUAUUUAUCAUGCAUACCAUUUUUCACCUCUUUGAUUUUCACAACACUUCUAUUUUUUUCCCCUUUAUUUAUUUUUUUAAAUGCGAGUGGCUGACAGUGAAGGACAAAAAACCCCUAAAACAUUCCCAACAACAUUUUGCACAAAACCCAUUCAACAGACAAGUCACAAAGUUUCAGCUUCUCCAGAACAGACAAGUCUACAGCAGUGGCAAUUACAAUAAUAACAUAGCAAACCAGAUUCUGAACACAAACAUGGA